Long non-coding RNA from Arabidopsis thaliana (thale cress), 627 nucleotides. RefSeq annotates it as other RNA. The record is from RefSeq. The transcript has a single exon. Lineage: Eukaryota; Viridiplantae; Streptophyta; Magnoliopsida; Brassicales; Brassicaceae.
GUGAACAGUGAGAUUAAUCGUGUGCUGUAUAGAAGAUAUGAAAGGCCCUUAGUAAGGAUUCUGUAGUCAUUUCCAAUUGUUGUUUCGAACCGUGUUUCGUUCUUCCGGUGUUUUGGAGGAGCUAGUAAGACCAUAGGGUCGAUUAGCGUUAUUGUGUAUCGUUGAUAUCUUGUUUUGUGCUAGCUGACCGCGGGAAAUGCGCUUGUUAGAGUGAACUACCACUAUCGUAUACUCGGGUUUUUGUAGUUCCGUUCUGAUAAAGCUCAUGGUUAAGUUCGAAGAACCGCUUGCAUGUGACUUGGGUGGUGUCUGUAAUUGAGGGUUCUAUGCUCUUUGCCGUUUAUGGCUCGGGCCAGCAGUAAAAUGCUUCCAGCUCUAAAGGUUAACGUUUCAUUGGUCUCCACUUUUUGCCGCGCCGUCUCCACUUUGUGCAUCAUAGUGGAAACAUACCAAUUGGAGUGAUAUCUUCCAUCCCUCCCACAUUUUUCACCUCAAUCUAAAGGAUCUCUCAUAUUUUGGCAUUUGUGAAUAUUCAAAUCUGAUAAACUACCACGUACCCCAAACAAGAGCAUUAAGGUCACAUUUAAAUCACUAUCACCUAACAGUCUAACACAGUAAUAAAUUCUU